AAACACAACUUCCUCUUUGUAGGACUCUUGUGUGACACUUCAAUGUUUCUUCUUUUCCAGAGAAAACGUGUCCUGAAGGCUGGAGGAUGUUCAGUUGUGCUUGUUAUCUUCUCUCUACUCGGGAUGAUUCCUGGACAAAUGGCAGAACAGACUGCAGACACCAAGGAGCUGAUCUGGUCAUCAUAGACUCACUUGAAGAACAGAAAUUCAUCUCAGGCAUCGUCAAAAGUCAUACUUGGAUUGGUUUGAGUGACAGAGAGAUCGAGGGCACCUGGAAAUGGGUUGAUGGAACUCCACUGACUGCAGCGUAUUGGGGCGCUAAACCUGGUCCAGUUCAACCUGAUGACUUUGGAGGUAACGAGGAUUGUGUUGAAAUAGUUGUCAGCUGGAACUCAGACAGAAACUGGAACGAUAGAGACUGUGCUUCCCCUCUGAAAUGGAUCUGUGAAAAAUUGGUUUAAUAUUUCAAGUUUCAAAGGUUAAACAAUUAUUUGUUACUAUGCAACCCAGGGAAGACAUUUUAGCUCAUUUGUAACAUAAAGAAAAGAAAACACACUUAUUUAAUCUGCAUUAUAAACAAUGUAAGCAAAAAAACAAUUAUCUGAUGUAAUAAUAUGGCCGACAUCUUCACAUUAAAACACUGUGUCCUGCUCUCUGUCCCCAUGUCCACCCGUCAAGUAUUACAUCCAUGAAUGUUAUUAUGAUCCCGAUAACUGCCUUAAAUGGUGUAUGUGAGAGAUUAAGAGAAAAGGAGAGUGCAUGUGAAGGGUUGGAGGUAUGAAGUUGUCUGUAUAAUGGUUUUGUGUAAACUUUAGCAUGUGUUUGUUAACUAGUAAG
Molecule: long non-coding RNA, 837 nt
Organism: Pungitius pungitius (ninespine stickleback)
Lineage: Eukaryota; Metazoa; Chordata; Actinopteri; Perciformes; Gasterosteidae
Exons: 3
Source: RefSeq, a predicted model, not a curated record